Molecule: long non-coding RNA, 1088 nt
Organism: Pseudomyrmex gracilis
Lineage: Eukaryota; Metazoa; Arthropoda; Insecta; Hymenoptera; Formicidae
Exons: 7
Source: RefSeq, a predicted model, not a curated record
CGCAGAGGUGGUGAACGCGGUCGCAAUAACUCGGAGGUGCCUGCCAGAUGUGUCAGCACACAAGUGUUACCAGCACCAAUCUUUUUGGAGAUAUUUCAGAUAAGAUGUUGUAAAAAUUGUAUAAAUUGUGUAUAAUCAGGAGCAGGAGACACGUGCGAUCUUGAUUUAUAGUUAUGUGCUGAUGACAGAUGAAGGUGUGGUGUGCUGACAGACAGAAAUAACAAGAAAGUAGUGAGUUUUGCAGCUGUCACUUCAGCAUGCUCUGUCCACCACCAGUAAAGCAAGAUAAGUAAUGGUUUUAACCGGUAAAAUCAGUAACAAGAGGUGUUAUCUGCCAGGGACUUUGGACUGUCACAGUAUAAAGAUGUUAUGUAGCUAAAAAGAUACAGCAGACCACAGUGAGUGCGUAGGCUGUCACUGCAACAGGUCUUUUUGACUAUAUUAAAACAAGCAAAAAGUUUAAAGUUAAAAAUUAUAUAUCAGAUGGUUAUACUAAAUGUGCACGAUGUUAUUCCUGCAGUAAUGAUAGUACUAAUAUAUAAAAUUUUUCUUUGCAGGUACACAAGACCAAAUAAAAACCGUGUACAGCUGUCACAGGACUAUGAGCUGGAUAUUAAAGUAGAGCAAGUGCAAUAUAUAGAAGCUGCAGAGGACAGGAGUGUGACUUACCUUCUCGGGAGCUGUCAGGAAAUGCUGCAGGACGUAUGUGGCUGCUGAUGUGGUGCGCGUUAAUAAAAUAUAAUAAUAAUAAGAUCAGGUACAAGGAUGGUAUAUGUACUUAAGAUAUACCCUACAGGAGAGAAAAAAGCGUGUUAUGUGUAAAAUGUGUAGUCAAUGAAUAAAAAGUCGCCUGUAUAUAUGUGUAUAUGUAUGUAGAAGAGAGAGUAGAGCUUUAUAAAAAUAAAAUGUGACUUAUAGAUGUAUAAAAUGUGACUUAUAGUCACUCCUAACCUAAAAUCUCGCUCCCGUUCCUCGAGCAGCAACAGCGGCGAAUAUCCAAUUCCUGGACAGCAAGGAUGUUACAAAGGGAAGGUAGGUAAUUCUUUAAACUUUUAUUUUUCAAAUAAAGUCCGUUACGGACUGGCAGC